ACACUUGGUGUUGGGCUGAGGACGUGAAGCUGUUGCAUGAAGAAAACAUGUUGCCUUCUGCACCUCUUCAAGAAGUUGCUGGAUGCAUUGUUGAUGGACCAAGGCCGUAAGCUGCACCUCCUUUGCUUGCAGGAUGAAGAUGUGGCUCUGUGUGUAGGCUGGACCGUGCUGUAUAACCAAAUUGCUGAUUCAAAUGGGUCGUGAAGAUGUGUGUUGAUCCGUGAUGCAAGUGGGUGUGCUGCUCUUGGCCGUGAAGAAGCUUGCUAGCUGCAGCCGUGCUAUCCAAGUUGCUGAACGUGCCAACCUGCAGCUUCAGUAAGUGACCGUGUGCGCUGGACCAGCUGCUGUCCAAGAACUCAAUUUUCAUGGGCCUGCUGGAUGAGAAGUUGUGGACGUGAUUCUGCCCAAGUGAUGUUGCUGCUUUUGGAAGCUACUUGAAUUUCCAGAUGCGCCUUUGAUUGCUGCAUGCUGCUGCUAUACAUAACCUGGACGUGUGAAUAGGUGUGGCAGCUUUGCUAUACGUUGCUUUAGUGUAAGCUGGGAGCUGGGCCAUGUAAAUAUUGGGUGAAGCAGGGAGGUGUGCGGACUGCUGCAAUAGUGGGCUGCUGCUUUCUUCUCUCGGGUGCAGCCUUGCAUAGUUGCAAUUGUGGGCCGUGUUUUGAUGGAGUGUUGGAUGCUUGCUGCAGGAUUAAUUUGGAACGUGGCAGCUGAACAUAUUUGAGACGUGGCAGCUCAUCAUUCAAUUGCAAAUUCAACGUGUUGCAGCGUGUUCCCUCACCAAGCUGUUGGACUUGCGUGUUGCUGCAACCUUCCUUGGGUGGCAACUAUUCCCUUAAAGAUGAAACCCGCGUCCUUCUCCUGGUGGAUCCGUGAUCACCAAGCUAGCUGGACAGCAUCCAAAAUUCUCGCUGCACCACCAUGUGCCUUUAUUUUUCUUUUAAAAACCAAAAACCAAUUGCCACUGUGGGCC
This 970-nucleotide long non-coding RNA is filed under the name Vigna radiata. RNAcentral describes it as "long non-coding RNA (VRAD_LNC005802)". The record is from RNAcentral. Lineage: Eukaryota; Viridiplantae; Streptophyta; Magnoliopsida; Fabales; Fabaceae.